UGGUGGUGCAUGCCUGCAAUCCCAGCUACUUGGGAGGCUGAGGCAUGAGAAUCAUUUGAAUUCCGGAGACAGAGGUUGCAGUGAGCCAAGAUCACACCACUGCACCCUAGCCCUUAAAUGUAGUGUUUAAGCAGACACAACAGAAGAUAACUCAGUCCUGCUACCUAGAAAGUUGCCCUGCAAGGUCUUCAGGACUAUUGAUUAAGCAGAUAAAUCAAUUAUCUUGUUAAUUGAAUCUUAUGAGUCAUUUAAAAGUUAAAGCAGAAAAGUUUUAGUGCUGAGCUCUUUACCUUGAUUUUUUUCCUUAAGCAUUACAUAAUUUUCUAAGCAGAAUUUCUUGUGAUAGAAACCAUGAUAAAUAAUGUACCUACCUGUGGUGUAGCCCGAACUUGCUUAACUGAGUCCCAAAGGAAUUUGUUGCCAUGGACGGCCCUGUUACAUGGACUUUUUGCACCAUAACGUUUCUACCUUUUGGAUCAUACUAGUGGUUUGAUCAAGUCUAUCAAACAAACAUCAUUCACAUUCUUGUCUAUAGACAGUAUACAAGCAGUAGGGGUUCAAAUAAUUUUUUGAGAUGAAGUCUCGCUCUGUUGCCCAGGCUAGAGUGCAGUGGUGUGGUGCGAUCUUGGCUCACUGUUCCCCCCGAAGGGCUGUGAGGACUCUCAUUCUUCUGUCCCCUUCCUCUAGGUCACAUGGCUCUUGUGGGCUCUCCUGCUUGCUCCACCCUUUUUGAGGUCUGAUCCCACCCCUUCCCUUUCCCCUUCCCUGUCUCCAGCUUAAGUUGCUGUUGCCUCUGCAGCCCAGACCACCAAUUCCCUUGAGGCAAUCAAGAAAUUCACCUUAAUUUUACUGCCA
RNAcentral lists this long non-coding RNA (855 nucleotides) under Pan troglodytes (chimpanzee). RNAcentral's name for it is "long non-coding RNA NONPTRT003407". The record is from RNAcentral. Lineage: Eukaryota; Metazoa; Chordata; Mammalia; Primates; Hominidae.